This 253-nucleotide ribosomal RNA is filed under the name uncultured bacterium. RNAcentral's name for it is "partial 16S ribosomal RNA". It matches the Rfam family "Bacterial small subunit ribosomal RNA", at positions 524 to 776 of the family's 1533-position model. The record is from RNAcentral.
UACGGAGGGGGCAAGCGCUGUUCGGAAUUACUGGGCGUAAAGGGCGCGUAGGCGGACCUUCAAGUCAGGGGUGAAAGGCCUGGGCUCAACCUGGGAACCGCCUUUGAAACUGGAGGUCUUGAGUCCGGGAGAGGAUGGCGGAAUUCCCAGUGUAGAGGUGAAAUUCGUAGAUAUUGGGAAGAACACCGGUGGCGGAGGCGGCCAUCUGGUCCGGCCCUGACGCUGAGGCGCGAAAGCGUGGGGAGCAUGCCGG